UCCCAGUUCGGAUCGCAGGCUGCAACUCGCCUGCGUGAAGUUGGAAUCGCUAGUAAUCGCGGAUCAGCAUGCCGCGGUGAAUACGUUCCCGGGCCUUGUACACACCGCCCGUCACACCAUGAGAGUCGGGAACACCCGAAGUCCGUAGCCUGACCGCAAGGGGGCGCGGCCGAAGGUGGGUUCGAUAAUUGGGGUGAAGUCGUAACAAGGUACC
RNAcentral lists this ribosomal RNA (214 nucleotides) under uncultured bacterium. Its description in RNAcentral is "partial 16S ribosomal RNA". It matches the Rfam family "Bacterial small subunit ribosomal RNA", at positions 1286 to 1500 of the family's 1533-position model. The record is from RNAcentral.